RNAcentral lists this ribosomal RNA (255 nucleotides) under uncultured bacterium. Its description in RNAcentral is "partial 16S ribosomal RNA". It matches the Rfam family "Bacterial small subunit ribosomal RNA", at positions 99 to 354 of the family's 1533-position model. The record is from RNAcentral.
CGGACGGGUGAGUAACGCGUGGAAAACCUGCCGUAUACUGGGGGAUAACACUUAGAAAUAGGUGCUAAUACCGCAUAAGCGCACAGCUCCGCAUGAAGCAGUGUGAAAAACUCCGGUGGUAUACGAUGGUUCCGCGUCUGAUUAGCUAGUUGGUGAGGUAAAAGCCCACCAAGGCAACGAUCAGUAGCCGGCCUGAGAGGGUGAACGGCCACAUUGGGACUGAGACACGGCCCAGACUCCUACGGGAGGCAGCAG